Molecule: long non-coding RNA, 667 nt
Organism: Misgurnus anguillicaudatus (oriental weatherfish)
Lineage: Eukaryota; Metazoa; Chordata; Actinopteri; Cypriniformes; Cobitidae
Source: RefSeq, a predicted model, not a curated record
CAGUUUUCUAUUCAUGGUCAAGAUUAAUUUACUGACGGGUCUUAUUCUGCGAAAAGGUCACUAGAAAAGAUUGUGAAUAUAAGUUCACAUUGCAUAUCCUGACAUAAACCGAUAUCAGCAGCUUCAUGCUCGCUUGCCUUUGAGAUCAUAGAGCAAUGGUGCUUCACUCUCCAACGUUUUCAGGAAAUACUUAGUAGGCAGCAGGACUACAAGUUCCAUUAUCAGAUGAGUUUCAACAUUGGUGCCAUAUAGAGAUGUUCAGUCCAGUGAGCUCCUUCCACUUCCACAUUACCUCAGGAUUUAUGGGCUCGCCCGCACACAGGCAGUGUUCAAGAGCCUGGAAAUGAAACCUGUCAGAAACCAUAAUCACUGCUGAGAGCUAAAUUACACAAGCAAGAAUUCAUUCAAGAAAAGCUUUAAAGUAUAAACUGGUGUGAAGCACAUCAAAGCACGCAAGUUCCAGACAGGCUACCUGGAUUUGUCCUCAUGUACAAGCAUCCGAUAGGCUGUCGGUGCCGUGCAGAAGGUUGUGAUGGGAAAGCUGGACAGAGUCUUUCAGGAAAGGAACGUCAAUGUUAUGGGAAGCUUAUUUUGUGCACAACAAAAUCUGUCCAUGUCUUCACAAGUUGUAAAGGAAUUAUACAAAACAUUUCACGCAUGCAUUUUU